This 358-nucleotide long non-coding RNA is filed under the name Hordeum vulgare. Its description in RNAcentral is "long non-coding RNA (HVUL_LNC004140)". Lineage: Eukaryota; Viridiplantae; Streptophyta; Magnoliopsida; Poales; Poaceae. The record is from RNAcentral.
AAUAACUCCAUGUAAUGAAUAAAUGAGUUUUGAACUACGAGUGAUAGUUAGGGUUGUGCUAAAAUUGUGAAUUAAUGCCGACGGUUUGAAUAGUCAUUCAAUAUGCGAGUCGCCUGGUUAACUAGUGUCACAUAAGCAGAAGUACAUAUAAAUGUGUAUUGGAAACGUGUACGGUGAUCAUAUGGCAUUUUGGAUCAUGAUGGCCAAAUAUUUUUAAAAACAUCAAAAUUCGAAAUUUUCAGUUUAAAAAAAAACUGAAAACAUUUGUACAAGCAAACAAUGAGGUAAGUAUGUGUGUAAAAUUUCAUGAAGAAAUACGUUGAAAUGCGGCCUGUACAAAAAAAAACAAAUUCAUAGG